RNAcentral lists this long non-coding RNA (694 nucleotides) under Chrysemys picta bellii (western painted turtle). RNAcentral describes it as "lncRNA (ENSCPBG00000025345.1)". The record is from RNAcentral. Lineage: Eukaryota; Metazoa; Chordata; Testudines; Emydidae.
AAGACGGCCCUGCCUCCUGCCCAAUUCCCCGGCCUCCCCCAGGGCACAUUAGAGAAAAGAAAACAGGGCUGGGCAAAAAAAGGAAUCUGCGCGACUUUUUCUCCUUUUCUUUCGCCUCCUUUCUCCCUCCCCUGCAGAGAAAUGUCAGAACCCAGGCAAGGAUCCAUUCAUCCUGGGGGCACACGCGAUUCGCGGCCCCAUUCCUAAGAGGCCAGGGGCAGAGGAGACUGGAGGAGUUGGUGGUGCACACGCUUGGUGCAAUGAGCUUGGGGACGGGUGCGACACAGACAAGUUGGACCGUGUUCGUAGUGUAGCAUUGUGGGCAAUGGGAAAGACAACCUCCCGCGGCAGAGUUUGGAGCACGGCUGAGAGCAAUCCGGAGAUGAAAAAAAAUACACCAUCCCCCUAGAAUAAUAAUAAUCCAAUUGCUGCAGGUCCCUGUAGAGCCUCGGAGGCAGAACUCCGCCUUUCUUGUAAACGUCUGUGCCUGGUUUCGCGGAAAGAAGGCGCUUCUCCUCUGACCCAGUGAAUGAGAUGCUCCAGCUGUCCCCUCUGCUCCUAGGUGGUGGAGCAAACGUCUUACUUCUGUUCAGUAGGUCAGGAAGCUUCUUUUUCCUCCAUAAAGUCCAUGUGAAAGACACCCCCCACACACACACACACCCUUGGUGGGGGGGGGGGGAAGGGAGAGUCUUAA